This 254-nucleotide ribosomal RNA is filed under the name uncultured bacterium. RNAcentral describes it as "partial 16S ribosomal RNA". It matches the Rfam family "Bacterial small subunit ribosomal RNA", at positions 524 to 776 of the family's 1533-position model. The record is from RNAcentral.
UACGAAGGGGGCUAGCGUUGUUCGGAAUUACUGGGCGUAAAGCGCGUGUAGGCGGGUCUUUAAGUCAGGGGUGAAAUGCCAAGGCUCAACCUUGGAACUGCCUUUGAUACUGGAGACCUUGAGUCCGGGAGAGGUGAGUGGAAUUGCGAGUGUAGAGGUGAAAAUUCGUAGAUAUUCGCAAGAACACCAGUGGCGAAGGCGGCUCACUGGCCCGGAACUGACGCUGAGACGCGAAAGCGUGGGGAGCAAACAGG